AUUAGAGGGGGAUAACAUUCGGAAACGGAUGCUAAUACCGCAUAGUUUCAGGAUCGCAUGAUUCUUGAAGGAAAGGUGGCUUCGGCUACCACUAAUGGAUGGACCCACGGCGUAUUAGCUAGUUGGUGAGGUAAUGGCUCACCAAGGCAAUGAUACGUAGCCGACCUGAGAGGGUCAUCGGCCACACUGGGACUGAGACACGGCCCAGACUCCUACGGGAGGCAGCAGUAGGGAAUCUUCCGCAAUGGACGAAAGUCUGACGGAGCAACGCCGCGUGAGUGAAGAAGGUUUUCGGAUCGUAAAACUCUGUUGUUAAAGAAGAACAAGGAUGAGAGUAACUGCUCAUCACCUGACGGUAUUUAACCAGAAAGCCACGGCUAACUACGUGCCAGCAGCCGCGGUAAUACGUAGGUGGCUAG
Molecule: ribosomal RNA, 419 nt
Filed under: Carnobacterium maltaromaticum
Lineage: Bacteria; Bacillati; Bacillota; Bacilli; Lactobacillales; Carnobacteriaceae
Description: bacterial SSU rRNA
Rfam family: Bacterial small subunit ribosomal RNA
Source: RNAcentral